Myxocyprinus asiaticus (Chinese sucker) is the source of this 3793-nucleotide long non-coding RNA. RefSeq lists it as uncharacterized. Lineage: Eukaryota; Metazoa; Chordata; Actinopteri; Cypriniformes; Catostomidae. The transcript is spliced from 3 exons. The record is from RefSeq and is a predicted model, not a curated record.
CGACUAACAUUUCGUUUUUAGAAAAGCCACUUUCGCAAAGUGUACCACUACGCUUGUGACGAUAAUAAAACAACUCACUUAUGACCGCAAACACCGCAACUGCCUGGUUACAUGUUAAAGAAGUGGACAUGUAUUAUAAAAUAUGAAGACUAAGAACAUGCUUGGGUGCAUGUUUUAACUGCAUACCCUGCUCCAAACGCUAAAGGGCAACUCCCCCGGAAGCAUCAACCCAGAAUAUUCAGUACCUUAACCUGGAUGCAUUCCUCACAAGUCCUCAUAUAUUCUUUCCCCUCGCUGGUAAAGAGACAUUAAGUUUGUGCUCACUGUCCAGGCCCGCCUUUGAAAGAAAACAUCUGUUACUAUUCCUGCAUUAUAGCAACGGUGGUAGAUCCACACCAUUUAUAAAUCAUUUACUUUAUAUCUAGUACUGUAUGUCAUCUCUCACCUAGACUGGAAAAUCCCCAGUGGCACAUACUGGGAGAGCUGACAUGGCAACUGAAGUCUCAUGGUUUCAUUAUAUGUAAGUCUCGCUCCAGUAUCCACACUGGAAGACUAUGGUGAGCAGGGUAAUGAGGGAGGCUGCCUGGGGACUGGUGAGAAGGUCACAUCUCUGGAGGGAGCGUGUGGUGUUUGAGUCUUCAAGCAGCAUGGGAGCCUCUAAUGAUGCAGGCAUUUUUAAACGCUCCCUAACGUUCCAUUUGUGCUUAGCUAGUCCUGCUGAGUAGCUGUUCUGUUUAUCUGCAUGUGCUUGGUAGAAUUCUUUUACAUAACAUGUGAAUAAAUUAUGGAUAAUGAUCUGUUUUGCAUGGUACUAUUUAAAGGGAUAGUUCACCCCAAAAUGAAAAUUCUCUCAUCAUUUACAUACCCUCAUGCCACCCCAGAUGUGUAUGACUUUCUUUCUUCGGCAGAACACAAACAAAUUUUUAGAAGAAUAUCUCAGCUCUGUUGGUCCAAAAUAUACAAGUGAAUGGUGGCCAGAACUUUGAAGGUCCAAAAAACAUAUAAAGGCAUCAUAAAAGUUGUCCAUACUCCAGUGGUUAAAUACAUGUCUUCAGAAGCGAUAUGAUAGGUGUUGGUGAAAAACAGACCAAUAUUUAAGUCAUAUUUUACUAUAAAUCUCCACUUUCACUUUCUUCUUUUGUUUUUGGCGAUUCACAUUCUUUGUGUUUAUCGCAACCUACAGGGCAGUGAGUACAUUUAUAGUAAAAAAGGACUUAAAUAUUGAUAUCUUUCUCACCCACAACUAUCAUAUUACUUCAGAAGACAUGGAUAAAACCACUGGAGUCAUAUGCAUUCCUUUUAUGCUGCCUUUUUUUCUUUUUUGGAGCUUCAAAGUUCUGGCCACCAUUCAAUUUCAUUGUUCGUUUGUGUUUUGCAGAAGAAAGAAAGUCAUACAGAUUUGGGAUUACAUGAGGGUGAGUUAAUGAUGAGAGAAUUUUCAUUUUUGUGUGAAUUAUCCCUUAAAGAAUUUAUGAAUAGUCCUGAGAUGACUUAAAAAAAGCUUAAAUCCUCAAAUUAAUGGAUUGACACCCAUGAUGUCUUCAGUUUGGUAUUAUUAUAGAUUUCCCAUUAAAAGUACAACAAUAGCUAAGUAAAAGGAAAUUGUAAAUAAUUUAUUACAUAAUUCUACCACAGGCAUGUAAUCCACAAUCCAUGCUAACUCAAAGAGAAUAAUACAGACAUUUGAAGAUAUUUAUUAAUUAACUGAUUUGUUUUCAUAAUUAAAAUCCUGCUUACUAGCUGAACAGAUUUUUGUAUUUUUAUCACAUUCCCUCAAAAUACAGAGACAACCAGAUGUUUUUGUACACUCUUGCUAGAUAUCACACACAUCUUUCAGUACAGCUGUCUAUUUUUCAACAAUGACAAAAUUACUCAAUAUCCUCCUUCUUAGGCAAAUGCUAAGAAAAUUACAUGGCCUGUUGGGAAAAUGUAUUAAUUCACUGAUUUACCUCUACUUUUGAACCGCUCAAUCAGGCAAAUUUAACUUUUCUCCAGGACAAAGUUUUCCCAAGGUUGUUGAGUUGAAUAAAUGUUUGAUAGCUCAUAUUAAUGAGGUAACUAAUGCAAUUAGGCAAUUAAUUGAGCCUUGGGGUGCAAACAUAGACAUGGCAGUGCAAAUCAAGCAGCAUGUGAAUGUAUUUACUCCUUUUAAGAAGAUUUCUGAAUGGAUGUUGUAAUUGUCUCAUAUUUGGUCAUUUGUCCUUUAGUCAGUUAUUGAUAAUAUACAUAUACUGUACAUAAUGGGGUAACACCACAAAAUAGAUAUGCAAAUUAACUCAGCUGUUUAGUUAAUUAAUUUUUGUAAUGUGUGGAGUUACCACAAACAUCAGAGAGAUUGCUAUUCAUUUAAUAAAGAACAGCUGGCCCUUUAUUUUACAGUAUCUGUUACUCAUAGUACGUUACUAUUAUUAGUAUUAACAAUAACAAUUUGUAAGUACAAACAGCUCAACAACACAUUAAGUAUGAUGUCUAAUAGUAUUAGUUAUUGCUUAUUUAAAUACACUGUAACUUGAACACUGUACAAUAAAGUGUAACCAAAUUGUUUAAGAGCAAGUUGGCAUCCAGAACAUACUCUACAGUUGACUUGUCAGUCUCCUCAUGAAAAGGAACCCUCAAAUGUCAGUAUCAGUGUGUCAUCCAGUAUGCUUUCUGACAUCAUACUGAAUCAGGAAAUAUUUGACAUCAUAUUUAAUUUCACUCCAAGUAAAAUUGCAACAUUACCAAAUUAAAUAAUCAACUAUUGACUUUUCCAUCCAGUUACUUCACAUCUCCUCACACCUCAUCUCUGAACCAUCACAUUAUCUCAACAUGAGCUUGAAUGUGACCAAUCUCAUGAGCUCUUUAAUUGUGGCCCUCUCACACCAUAACUUGGUCUUGAGUCAUGGCAGACAGCUAUCGGCGUGGGUUACUGCCAGUUUGACAGCAGUAAAAAAAUAACAGCACCUCUGGCUGGCUGCGACUUCCAGCUCUCGGCCGCAGGGUCCCUGCAGGCCUGCUGUGGCAAAGAGAGACAGAGAGACUUGUUUCAAACAGGGUGGGAGAUGAUGAAGUGAAAUACAAGCAGAAAGACAGCCCUUCCAGUAUUGAGGAAAAUAAUGGCAGAGAUUGGAUCAAGAUCAGCAUAAUUAAAAGCGUUAUUUACAACUUUGCUGGGCCAGCAAACCAAUGAUUGCUUAAGAUUAAAGGGAUAGUUCCUUAAAAAAUGAAAAUCCAUUGUACACAAAAGGAGAUGUUUAGGCAGAAUGUUAGCCUCAGUCACCACUCACUUUCAUUGCGUUUUUUUUUUUUUCCAUACAAUGAAAAUGAAUGGUGACUGAGCCUGUCAGUCCCUAACUUUUUGCCUAACAUUUCCUUUCAUGUUCCACAAAAGAAAGUAAAUCAUACAGGUUUGGAAUGACAUGAGGGUGAGUAAAUGAUGAGAUAAUUUUUAUUUUUAGGUUAACUAUCCCUUUAAAAUAUGCUGCAUGCAUAAUAAGUAUAAACAAAUUAGCAAAAUGUAAGCUGUCUGAUUUUUUCUUCUUUGCCCUGUGGAAAACAAAAGGCUAUAUAUAGCAAAAUGCUGCUCUUUUGCAUACAAUGAACAUUGACAGUGACAUGUGACUGUCAAGUUCCAAAAAGGAUGCAAACAAAAGCACUAUCCACUGCAGUUUUUAUUUUAUUUUUUUAUUUUUUUAUUAUUGUGCAUGAAUAAAACUCAUGAUGAGAGAUUAUUACAGCAAGCUGUUUUCUGAAUGAUUCCUACUUGUGGACUGCAAAUAUGUAAACAAUAACAAGAGAUCAUACCUCAAUAAAG